This is a long non-coding RNA of Patiria miniata (bat star), 129 nucleotides long. RefSeq lists it as uncharacterized. Lineage: Eukaryota; Metazoa; Echinodermata; Asteroidea; Valvatida; Asterinidae. The record is from RefSeq and is a predicted model, not a curated record. The transcript is spliced from 2 exons.
AUUUUUGAUGAAAAAUGCCAUUUUUGAUGAAAAAUGUAAGGUUAACCCCUUGUUAUUUUCGAUGAAAAAUGCCGUUUUUGAUGCAAAAUGUAAGGUUAACCCCUUGUUAUUUUUGAUGAAAAAUGCCAU